GACGUACGUGAAGAAGAAGAAGAAGAAGAUUAGUGUCAAACUGUUCAAAAAAAAAAGGGAAGAAAUUAUAACUCCCAAUCUCAUAAGUGGGUAGGGGUCGUAGAGGAUAAGAAAGCCAUUUUCUUUCCAUAAUUCCUCCUACAUACGCUCUCUGCUUUGUCUUUUCUCUUCCUCACAAUUGCCCCUCCUCCUUUCUCUCUGUGUUUGUACAGCUUUUAAAAUAAAUAAAUAUUAUCUUUGAACAACCCCCAUCUUCUCUCUUUCAUCCUCUCCUCCGAAAACCACACUUUUCUUCUUUUUAUGUCUGGAACUAGAAUGUUGUGGAGAUGCAGGAAACUCAAGGACGCAACGAAUCCUCUGGUACUCUCUUCCCGUUUCGAAUCCCCGGUCCGUUUCUCAAGAGGAAUCUCCACGCACCUGAACUACUUAAACAUCGGGUGUAACCGCCGGAAGGAAUCAUUGAUCGGAAUCCAAGAGCGCUACAAGUGGGAGAAUUCCAAGGACGACAGCAAUGUUCGGAAAAUUAGGGCAGAAGCGAAUUGUCCGAGGUGCUCUAAACACAUGGAUGUGCUCUUCUCCAAUCGGAGUUUCGUAUUUAGUAAUAAUUCUAAUCUUGAUCAUCAUCAUCAUCAUCAUUUGAGUCGCAAUAAUGAUACUGCUAAUAAUAAUACUAAUAAUACUACAACUGCUGAUACUGGCGCUUGUAAUGGAAAUGGGCAUAAUAAUAAUUAUCAGGCUGUGAAUUUCUGUCCUAAUUGUAAGACAGCCUAUUAUUUUAGGCCGGAUAAGAUUGCGCCGUUACAAGGCAGUUUUGUUGAGAUUGGUAGGAUUAGUAAUAAGGGGAAUGGGAAAAAUGGGAAUAAGGGAGGUAAGGAAGGGAGUAAUGGUGGUGAAGAGGGGGCGGAUUAUGCCAAUGUUACUAAUACUAUUAAUAAUAGGUUAAGGGUGUCGUUCUGGGAGACGUUGAGGUCUUAUGGAGGGGAUCCGCCGGAGAAUUGGCCUCAGGGGAUUCCUCCUCCGCCACCCCCGGGUGGGAAUGGGUUGGCUGUGCAUACGCCUCCUGGUCCGCCGUUUGCUCCGGGGGUUAGCGUGGUUAGGGCUUUUAAGCCAGGUGGAGAAAAGAGUGGAGGUGGUGGUGGGAAUGGAGGUGGUGAGAAGAAUGGUGCUGGAUGGGGUGGGUCAAAUUUGGGGAAGGAAUUGCCGACGCCAAAGGAGAUUUGCAAAGGUCUUGAUAAGUUUGUUAUUGGACAAGACAGAGCAAAAAAGGUGCUUUCUGUGGCUGUCUACAACCAUUAUAAGAGGGUUUACCAUUCCUCCUUGCGGAAAGGGCCAGGAGCAGAAUCAGGAACUUUGGAGGCUAUAGAUGAUGAAGACAAUGUGGAACUGGAAAAAAGCAAUGUACUCUUGAUGGGCCCAACUGGCUCAGGGAAGACAUUGUUGGCAAAAACACUAGCACGCUUUGUGAAUGUGCCAUUCGUGAUUGCUGAUGCAACAACACUAACCCAGGCUGGUUAUGUUGGUGAAGAUGUUGAAUCAAUAUUGUAUAAAUUACUCUCGGCAGCUGAAUUUAAUGUGCAAGCAGCUCAACAAGGAAUGGUCUACAUUGAUGAAGUUGAUAAGAUAACAAAGAAGGCUGAGAGCUUAAACAUAAGCAGGGAUGUUUCUGGUGAGGGUGUCCAACAGGCAUUAUUGAAAAUGCUGGAAGGAACUAUAGUAAAUGUUCCUGAGAAGGGGGCAAGGAAGCAUCCUCGGGGUGAUAACAUACAGAUAGAUACAAAAAAUAUCCUCUUUAUAUGUGGUGGAGCAUUUGUUGAUCUUGAAAAGACCAUUUCAGAGAGACGACAAGAUUCAUCAAUUGGAUUUGGAGCACCUGUGCGUGCUAAUAUGAGAGCAGGUGGAGUAACCAAUGCUGCAAUCACUUCAUCUUUGCUAGAAUCUGUUGAGAGUGCUGAUCUUAUUGCUUAUGGCCUUAUACCGGAGUUUAUUGGACGCUUUCCAAUAUUAGUUAGUUUGGCAGCUCUAACUGAGGAUCAACUUGUUAAGGUCCUCAUGGAACCGAGAAAUGCCCUUGGUAAACAGUAUAAGAAGUUGUUUAGCAUGAAUAACGUGAAGCUACAUUUUACUGAUAAGGCACUAAGACUAAUUGCGAAAAAGGCAAUGGCUAAGAAUACUGGUGCCAGGGGUUUAAGAUCCAUACUUGAAAGCAUUCUAACUGAAGCCAUGUAUGAGGUUUUGUUGCUUAUUUGCUUCAGAUCCCAGACAUCAAAACAGGAAGUGAUAGAGUAGAUGCUGUUGUAAUUGAUGAGGAGUCUGUAGGUUCAGUGCAUGCUCCUGGAAGUGGUGGGAAAAUCCUGCGUGGAGAUGGUGCAUUGGAGCAUUACCUAGCAGAAUAUAAGGUUGAGGCAGCUGAUGGGGAGUUGCAGGACGCUGAAUCAGAGGUUUCAUCAAGAGCAAUGAGCAUGUAGCACUACUACAAAGAUAACUGUUAACUUAAAGUUACAAUUCCUCUUUUUAUUUGUAAAAAUCAAAUUCAUGAUUGGAUGUAAUAAUCCCUUGUAAAACAGCAUAGUUUCUGGUUGAAAAGUUAAUUGGAUAAUAGGAAAAGUAAAUGAGGAAAAUACGUAGGACAUUGUACAAAAGUUCUAUUCAUUCUCUUUAAGGAGACCUAAUUUGUCAAUUUUCAAUUUUA
Molecule: RNA transcript, 2689 nt
Organism: Populus trichocarpa (black cottonwood)
Lineage: Eukaryota; Viridiplantae; Streptophyta; Magnoliopsida; Malpighiales; Salicaceae
Gene name: CLP protease regulatory subunit CLPX3, mitochondrial
Exons: 15
Source: RefSeq, a predicted model, not a curated record